This is a long non-coding RNA of Gadus macrocephalus (Pacific cod), 5864 nucleotides long. RefSeq lists it as uncharacterized. The transcript is spliced from 3 exons. The record is from RefSeq and is a predicted model, not a curated record. Lineage: Eukaryota; Metazoa; Chordata; Actinopteri; Gadiformes; Gadidae.
AGGCAUUUACUAACUGUUUUUUAUUAUUAUUAUUCACGUUAUCCCCAUAACAUUUAGCUAUUACUGUGUAGGGAAAUAGAUAAAUACAAUGCAAUACAAUACAAAUAUAAAGUUAGGAACGCUAAUAAAUGUAAUUUGUAAAAUAAGUGUUAUCUGUCUUGUCGCUCUCAAUGAACGAGUUCGCGAAUGUUCAAGAACCUUCCACGUCAUUCGACGCGAUCCCCCGUUGCGAUCGUCUGUUGCCAGGCAGGUUUGGAAUGGAUUACUAUGGAUGACGUAGGCCGGUACAAUUUUCGCCCCCGGUACAAUUUUUAACGUGACAGCCCCAAAUCCUAUGGCCCCAAAAUCAGUGUAUCUUCCGUUCAAUCCAUAUCCGUUUGGAAAUCAAAACACGAAAAGCGAAAAGUGACUUUUUAAAAAAUCAUCCUCGUUGGGAUAGCUUGACCAGAAAUUCAUCACAUGUAUUGCUCUUUUAAAACAUGUAUACCGGUGUAAUAGUCUCUGUAUGAGCUUUUACCAAUAAUAAAGUCGAGAGAACAGUUUGGGAAAGCUGAGCGGUAGGGCAACCGCCUCCCCUCUGCCGCGUUCCCUCUUUGAAAUUAAGGGAGGCGACCAGCUGCUGCGCGGUGGAGGCGCGGAAACUCGCAAUAAUAUCAUAUUCCAACCUAAAUGGUUGUGCCGAUUGCCAAACAACUGAUGGGCCCAUGAGUUAACAAUAAUUAAUAACAUUAGCACACUUACCAGAUGUGGAGAUCUGUGGACUGUGUGUAGUAGACCAUCUUCAUUUUGUGUCUGCAGUUUUUGCAUUUCACUUUUCUUUGCAGCAACCUUUUCUUUUGCAACCAUGUUAUCAAAUUGAAUGAUGUUUUUUUUGACUCCUUGACAUUCACUUUUCUCAAAAGUGUUCCCACAAGCGAAGCCAUAGCACCGGUGGUCAGAGGAAAUAACUGAUGUUACUGGCCCUGAUUUGAAAAUCUGGCACACUUUUCUGUUAUUAGUUCAAUAUGUGGAGGUACGCUUAAUUUUUACAUCGAAACACCUCCCACCGCAAAGGUUGGGCUGAUUCCCUGGUUGAUGCCUGACUCAAUCAUAAUAAUCAAGCGCUUCUACCGUCCGAUUGGCUAAGCCGCACCGCCAACUCGGUGCCGUUGAAAGAAGCUAUUAGUCCGCGCAAAAUAAAUUGGAUCUUGUCGCUAUGGUAAGUAUCAACCCUCUCUCAACAGUUAUUGUUUUAUUUUGAAAGCAGGCGCCAUUACUUGUAUGUGUGAACCACUUAUGUUUGGCCUAUCUCUUGUUUCAGUACCAGCAUAUGAUUUUUCACCAGUUAAGAUCUGCCACGCCUGGAAAUAUGAAUCUGCCUAUGGUGGAAAGGCCUGCUGAGCGCUCUACCCGGGCAAAAGGACAGCGGGGGAAUGAAGGAGAAAGCUCCGAUAUGCCUACUGCUGGCAAAGUCCAAUGGAAGAAGCGGUCAGAAGAGCUGCAGACCCGGAUCGAGUUGCUGGAGGAGGAGAAUGCUUUACUGAAGCAGCAGCUUGAGCAAAGGCCUUCAGCAGAGCAAGGUUUGUAAAGCUAGAGUAUAGUAUUACCUGAGGACUUCAAUACAGUUUUUUAUGAUCGCUUAACCACAGUGGGCACAACUGGAGCGACACGUGCAAAACUCAGCAUGCAGUUCCUGUGGACCAACCACUAGCUAAUUUUUCAUUGCUUAAACACAAUUUUCAGAACUCUACACACUUAUCUCAUGGCUUAUAUCACAACCUGCACAACACUGGAUUUUCAGCACUUUGAUCAAAUGCUAACACACUGCUGUCACAACUGUAAACCACACAUUCAAAACAGAAUGGACUUCAUCCUGGUGCAUUUUAAACACUGUGGAUUAGGGCUUUGACUUCGAACUUCGUAAUUCGAAUAUACCGGUAAUUCGAAUAUCAAAAAAUAAAUCAACGAAUAUUAGGCAGCCCUUAAUAUUCGAACCUGUUAUCGGCAGGCCAAGAGGAGAGACGUCGGAGAACCCGACGCAGUCUAUUCAUAAUAUUGUAAUGACCACGGAAGAGGCAGUGAAUGAAGUAUUGAUUAGACAGCGAUUUAUCAGAAACCCAAUAAACCGUUGGAACACACAAGACCGGUAACCAUAGCAACGCCGGUAAACAAACCUUGCAAAACCCAAUCCAGGGCUGAAUCCGAAUACUCAUACUUAUAGUAUGCAUUUUGUAGUACGCCACAAAUAUAGCGCGUCCGAAUGCUCAGUACGCAUUGUGUAGUACAGAAAACGUUAAAGAAUGCGUACUACCCAUUGGUACUACCGCCACAGUAUACAACGGUAGGUCACUACGCUAUCCCACAAUGCAACCGGAGUCUGGUAACGAACGAAGAAGUGAUGGCUGACCCGACACUACCAACAGCGGCUUAGAAAGACGUCGUAGAAAGCGGCGAAAAAAGUAAAAAAGUAAAGUAAGUCAUCAAGUAAAAAGAGACAUUUUUAAUUUUAUAGCAACGAUGACAAGACGGAAAACAGGUAACUUAUCAAGGUAGUUUUGCCGGCAUCUGAGGGGAGAUACGUCAUCUCCAAACAUCCGGUGGAGUUUCGGCGGUGUUCGGAAGCUUUCAGAAGCGUUCUACACAUAGCUGUAGACCGUACUACACUUGACAGUGUAGUAUGGUCUUCAGCUAUGCGUAGAACGCUUCUGUUCAGUAGACACUGAACAGAAAUAGUAUGUACUAAGUAUUUGGAUUCAGCCCAGGUCUUACUGAAGGCAUUAAAUGGUCAAAAUACUAUUAAUAAAUAUUCGAAUAUAUUCAAAUAUUAAUAUUAAUAAACAAACGAACUUCGAAUAUGACUUUUGGGCAAAAGUCAAAGCCCUACUGUGGAUUGCUAUUUCAACUGAAACACAAGGUGUCUUGUUUUAGACUUGUGAGUGAACAUAUACAGUAUAUAGGGAAAGUGCAAAAAUACUUUCUUUUGGAAAUGGACCAAGGAAGAAAGGUUGGUGGAGGGAGAAGAGUGGCAGUGAGAGUGUGGAUGUGUUCUGAGUGACAUUAUGUGUCAUCGCGAUGAGGCUGGUUCAUAGUGUUUACUGCUCUGAGCCUAUUUUGCAGGUGAUGUGAACUGUUCAGCUCCAGUGACUGUUGGUAGUGCAGACUGUAGUUAGAUUUUUGCACAUUGAGCUCCAGUUGUGCCCACAACUGGAGCUCAAUGUGGGUUUUUUUCAGGUUAGCGAUCGAAAAAAAACGGUAAUGUAUGUGGCUUCACUACAACAACCACAAUAUUGGAGUUCACCCAUUGUAUGAGGGUCACUCUACGUCACAACAUCUGAUAGACAUCAGCAUAUCAGGUGGGCACUAUUCACACCUGCGCCUUACAGGUGAACGCUGCAAAGCCAGCCAGCUGCGCUCUUUUAAAAAUUACACAACUGUUACGGUAACACCCUUAACUCUACCGGCAGUGGUUCGGAAUGAGGAGGACACCGAUUCUUGACAGGCUUACUUUAUUCCCGUUGCACUCACUUUACAGUUGGUUGCAUUAGCUUAUGCUGCUUUCUCUCGCUUGCAUUCACACACCCAGACACAUGCUACCGCUCGCUCUCCUCGCUCGUCCAUUCACUCACUGAAAUCCCUCAAACAACAACACACUGCCAUUCUCGCUCACUCACUCAGGCUACUCUGUCUCAUAACACUACUAUCAAGAUACAUCAUCUACUUCCGAAUUGCCCUCCAACAAUUUAAAAUCAGAAAAAUCCUCCACCUCAAACAACACAUCUGUGUGACAUAUGAGCUCACAUCGUGUAGCGAUAGCGCCCUUAGACUCUCUGUCACUCUGCUUUUCAAGGAAGUUAUAUCAUUUAGAUCUUCCUGAGUGACAGCUAGAUUAACCCAGUGUCCUUUACAGCCACCUCCUUCCUAACUGAGCCGUCAGAACCUUGGUCAGAACGCAUUUUUCAAAAUUGUGCAGUGUGACAAGUUAUGCUGAGACUGGGGGUAAAGUUACCCUUAAAAGUUGUUUUAAGUGCUUUUUUCUGCUUUUCGUCAUUUCCUAGGUGACACAGUGGACAACACUGACCCCGAACCAGAGUCAAACACUGACGCAAGUAGCAGCUCCAGCACAGACUCAGAUUCCAGCAGCAGCAGCUCUUCCUCCUCUGAUGGCCGAAAAAAAAAAAAGAGGAAGCACAAGAAAAAAGCAAAAAAAAGGAGCAAAAAGUCGAAGAAGUCGAAGAAGUCAAAGGCCAAAGGAUAUCGUGUGACAACCAUAUCGGAUGUGGUGAAGCGGUACCGCCAGGUCCUUCGAAUAAUAGAAAGGGGACACACAAUGUCAAGGGCAUUCGCAAAGGCAGGCGUCUCAAGAAAUGCUGUGAAGGACACCGCCGCAAUCGCGGAACUGUACAUAGCUGACAGAAGUGUCCUGGAGGAGAUAAAGGGCAAAAAGACGCUCCUCCAUUUAGCAAAGGUCUGCGACUCAAAAAUAGUUGGAGAGCUUUCUUUGAAGAUUGAAGAACUUAAAAAGAAAAAGAAACUGAUACCAUUCACCAAAAGAGGCUGAGGCUGAAAUGGACAGAGGAGAAAGGGGAGAGUGUUUUCAUUUAUUUAAAAAAAAAAAAAAAAAAAAGUUUUAUUUGUUCAAACGGUUUAUAGUAUUCUUGUUUCUUUUGACUCUUAGUUUAUUUAAAAAAAAAAUAAUGUUUUUGUUUUAUUUGUUCAAACGGUAUAUAGUAUUCUUGUUUCUUUUGACUCUUAGUUUUUUUAAAAUAAUAAAGUUGCUUUCUUCUCUGAUAUGCUGCUUAUGUGUUGUUUAUUUCACUUUGCGGUCAUCCAGUUUUACUGAUCAGUUGAGCAAAACUUGUCUCUAUUUUGUACUGUUACUAGUUUGUAGACCGCUACUGUUCUCAACUGUUUUCACUUUAAUUUGACAGUCCUAAGACCUCUACUAAUGCUUAGUUGAACAUUGACUGAUAGUUUGUUGAGAAUCAACUAUUUUCUCUGUUUUGCUCUGUUAAUAGUGUGUAGACACUAAACUGUUUUCACUUUAAUUUGACAGUCCUAAGACCUCUCUACUAAUGCUUAGUUGAACAUCGACUGAUAGUUUGUUGAGAAUCAACUAUUUUCUCUGUUUUGCUCUGUUAAUAGUGUGGAGACACUAAACUGUUUUCACUUUAAUUUGACAGUCCUAAGACCUCUCUACUAAUGCUUAGUUGAAUAUUGACUGAUAGUUUGUCGACAGUCAUAUGACAAUCAACAGGUUGUCACCUACACAGGGUGCCUAUUGAUUGAUAAAAUAUUCUCAUCUUUAUUUUACAAUGAACAUAUCUGAUCAACAGAGGGUUGAAUGUUCAUUCAUUAGAUGUGUUCCUUGUGAGUGGAGGGUAAGUUGAUCCAUAUGAAACGUAAGUUGAGAAUUGGUUAAUAACAGCAGUUGAUAGUCAACUUACUAGAAGUUGACACUCAACUGAUAGUUGAAUAUUUGUAAAGAACAUGUAGUAAAAAGCACAAUGUCUGUUGCAGACUGUUUUUGUAAAAAUAAAUGAACGAAAUAAAAAUAUACUAUAGUCAACUAACACUUAGUUGAAUGCAUGUUACAUAUUUGUUGACAAGCUCUGUAGAGUAUCAACUAACUCACUGUUGAAUAUCAACUAAACGCCAGCUAAUAAUGCAACGUGUAGUUAACUUAGUUAGUUGAAUGCUUGUUUCUUAUCUGUUGAAAGCUUUGUUGAUUAUCAACUAACCAUCUACUAAUAAUGCAACUAAUAGUUAACUGACAGUUAGUUGAAUGCAUGCUACGUGUACAAAACAACAUCUACUAAUAGCGCAACUUAUAGUUAACAGACAGUUAGUUGAAUCCAUGUUUCUUAUCUGUUGAACAAGCUCUGUCA